UGGGGAAUAUUGCACAAUGGGCGCAAGCCUGAUGCAGCCAUGCCGCGUGUGUGAAGAAGGCCUUGGUUGUAAAGCACUUUCAGCGGGGAGGAAGGCGAUAAGGUUAAUAACCUUGUCGAUUGACGUUACCCGCAGAAGAAGCACCGGCUAACUCCGCGCCAG
RNAcentral lists this ribosomal RNA (162 nucleotides) under uncultured bacterium. RNAcentral's name for it is "partial 16S ribosomal RNA". It matches the Rfam family "Bacterial small subunit ribosomal RNA", at positions 355 to 511 of the family's 1533-position model. The record is from RNAcentral.